UUCUCACCUUAUUAGGGUAGUAACUUUUCUAGCAAGACAGUUCAAGAGUCUGGUGGUCACUGAAAAAUGUAUAUCUACUGUCUAUUAUGCAGCCAUGUCAGCAUUCCAACCAUGCCAAAGCUCUCUCCUGCAAGCUGCUGUGCAAGCUUAGAAAAAGACAGUCUCUGCUUGGAAGCAUUUAACAGAUAGAUAUUCUAUCCUGUUUGAAUAGGAUAUGACAAAGAAGACUGAUGAACUUUAGGGUUGAACAGCAACAGAGAACAGCAAGAGAGAAAGAAGGACGAAUUCAAGAAAAAUAAUUGUAUUUUUUUCCACUGAAAUUCUAACCUAGUCUGCAUUUCUUUGCUUUCUCAGUUACAUACGACUGAUCUUUCUGUUGACAUACCAAUGGGCCAAACUGUUACAAUUUUAAGCACAUUCAUAGCAAUUAUUUUAUAAUUUAUUUGUGAUUCUAGGUUUCUUUUAAAGUAAUACUGAAGUUCUCCUGAUCUAAUUUUCUUAUACUCCUAAAAAAUCAGGGUAGUAGCGAGUGUUUGAACCACAUGGAUGUGUUUGUAUAGGUCAGAUUGGCAAGGAGAAUAGUUUCUUAAAUACAUCUAAAACACCAUUUUCCAAGAUGAUUAAAUCUGGUCUAAUUGAUCCUAUCCAAAGGAGUCCAAUUAGAGAGUAUUCUUGUUCUAGUUUGUUUUGUUUCUUCCCAGCAACACCCCCCCCCACCCCCCCCAACUAUUAGCCUUUCUACUGUUGAAAUUAAACAGUGGGGGAAGUCCUGUGAGAAAAAAAAUGCUUGUGUUUGAAGCAUCAUUUACUACACCGUGGAAGUAGGAAGACAACUUGUAUCAACACCUAUGCAUCUGUUUUGUUGUAUUUGUGUUUGUGACGGUGCUCGACUAUCAAUACCAGACUAAAAGCAUUCAUUGAGCAUCUGAACAGUCAUUUAAUUAUCACUGAAGUAAAUUCAGAACAUUGUUGUAAUUGAUUGAUUGGUGGAGAUCAACUAAUUAAUAGUAAUCGUACUCCAGAAAGAAAUUGCAAAGUUGUUAUUUAUGCUAUAGAAGCAACAGACUUUGUAUCCCUAGAGCUUUUAAUAAAAUACGUCAAUCUUUGGUUGGCCU
RNAcentral lists this long non-coding RNA (1115 nucleotides) under Anser brachyrhynchus (Pink-footed goose). RNAcentral's name for it is "lncRNA (ENSABRG00000006357.1)". The record is from RNAcentral. Lineage: Eukaryota; Metazoa; Chordata; Aves; Anseriformes; Anatidae.